UUUCUCUCUCUGUCUCUCUCUCCCUGUCUCUCUCUCUCUCCCUGUCUCUCUCCCUCUCUCUCUCUCUCUCUCUUCCUCCCCCUUCUCUCUCUCCGUCUCUCUCUCUCCCUCUCUCUCUCUUCCUCUCUCAAGCUUUCUGACAUUUGAGGAAAACAAAGAGCAGACUCCGAGCCUUAGCAACAUUCUGUUGGUGUCGGCCGUCCUCCAGGGCAACAGAUAUUAUGUUCCAUUGGGGUCAGAGUUCAGCGCUGGUUGCUAUGGGGGUGUAGGUGAGAAGCCACUUGUACCUUCUUACUAUUUAAUAGAGAUUAAACAAUUAUUUAUAGUGCAAACUGAACGUUUACAAUAGCACGAGGAGGACAGAAUGCUGUGGAGCAGAGGGAGCUUUUCAUGAGUGGCCAGAUUUGGAGGAAUCCUAGUGGACCGAGAAAAGAACAGAGUUCUGACAGGUGUAGCCAGGAAGGACCUUCUGCCUCUAGGCAGUCACGCAAGAUGGCUAUGGAAGCUUGUUCUUAGACACUGCUCUUUCCCAACAAGGAUUGGCCAUCAACUCUGACACUUUGUGAGAGGAAGUAAGGCCCAGAACUCACAUGUGCGAGCUUGGUGGCCAAGCUCCAAGAUGGGUCAGUUUCCUUCGUUCCCUUCUGCAUUACCUACCUACCUACAGUUCAAAGCCGGCACUCGGUGAGGAGCCAGCAUGCUGGUUGGUAGCCUAGAGAAGCCAGCCAUGACCCUCGCUAACCCAGGAGGCUACAACAGAGCUGGGCCUCCUAAGUUUCUACCAUCUCACACACUGAGAGCCGGCUGAGGUGGUGGGGGAGCACACGGCUAGCUAGGAGGUUUUCGCAUUGAGGAUGGGCAGGAUGCCAGAUGCACAGAGGAAGUCCAGGAGUAACAGAGGAGUGUGGUCCAGGGGGCUGCAGUUGAGACAUGGCUGGUGUUCUCUAGGACUGAGGAUGCUGAGUGGGUAGCACACUAUACGUGACCCCCAUCAUCGCUCUGUGUGUGUGUGUGUGUGUGUGUGUGUGUGUGUGUGUGUGUGUGUGUGUGUGUGCUUAAGGUCACUUUAGAAGUAACUCAGGAAGUUCUAUUCCCUUGGUAGUGGGACUGGGACCAUCUUUGGCCAUUCUCCAGAUGAGGGAAGCGGCUCACCAGAGAGUGAUUCACAGAACAGGUGACAAGUGUCCAUCUAUCUACCCUUGUUGGUGUUGUCCAGGGAGACACUGCCCCGAUGACUCUCUGCCCUUCAGCCAGUUCCCACUGGAAUCGCAAGCUCACGCUGCUGCUUACAGAGCAGUACUGGAAUGUUGGAUACUGCGUCCCGAUAGGUGCUCACACGGACCCCAGAGCUGAGCGGGUGUGGCGUGUUACUUCUCUACAAAGGACGACAGAGCUCAUCUGGGAGGAGAGGCCUCACAGGUCACGCUCUAACCGUCUCAGGACAGCAAGCUCUGAUAAAGUCUGUAUCGACGCUGGUUUUUCUACGCCCCUGUUAAUUACUCAGAAUAAGUAAGUGUAAAAAGCUUGUGUCAUUUCUUUAGGUUUGACCAUGGCAGUGUCCUCCAUAGAUGUAGAGCGACCAAGGAAUGUGAUGCCUUUGGAUACUACUCUGCCAUCCUUCCUGUUAGCUCUUCCCACCCUGGACCAGUUUAAAUAUCCUGUAACUUUUACUGUCAUCUUGAAUUAGUGUUUUCGCUUUUACACUUUCAUUCAUUUUUUUUUUUCUGAUGUUGAUCAUGACUUUGAAAUUACUCUGUGGUAGCCUAAGUUGAUAAUUCUUUGCUUAAAGAAUAGACUCUUUAAAGAGAGAGCAGUUUGGGGUUCCCAGGGAAACUGAAUGGAAAGUGUGUGGUGUUGCCAAACACCCGAAUCACCACCCUUGGAGUCUCCCCACCCCACCCAUUAGCUUUCUGUUUGAAGCCACAAUUUGUAGCCGCGGACAAACCUGUGUAGUCAUCACAUGGCACACAUGCUUUAUUGGUGGCGUUGCCAGUGCUUGGCCUUCUGUGGGUUUAGGCAUCGGUAUCAUGACAUGGGUGGACUGGUAGCCUGGCUGUCAUAGCACCAUCCAAGUACCUAUGCCUUUUCAUAGAGCAUCUUCACACGGCAACUUGGAGAAGCCUUUGCAGUUGGCUUCCUUCACUCACUGCUCCCCAUUCAUGAUCUUUCCCUAGUCUGACCUCUUUCCUUUUGAUGUCAUAAUGUUGCAAUGUUUGGACACAGCAUGGUUUCUUUCAUCCAUCUGUUACUGAAAACACUUUUGCUACUUCCCAGGUGGGCCAAUUGUAAGUUUGGUGCCGCAAACACUGGAGGCCAAGGUUUCGUGUGGACCCAACUUCUCUGUUGAGAAAAUGAUUGUUUACCUUUAAAAAAAAUGCAGUCUCCAUUUUGCCUUCUUUCCAGAAGUGACCAGAGUGCCUGCUGUGUCACAUGCUCACCAACGCUGGGUAGCCACGGUGCUCCAGAUUCUGGACACACCGACCAGCACAGAGUGGGAUCGCUUUGAUGAGGAAAGCGGGCACACGGGGCACCUCGCAUCCGACCAAGCCCAAAUGUAACAUCACUUGGAGAUGCAGGGGAAGACGCCCAUCCCACUCGCAGCAUGGGAGCAGUUCUCCCCAGGCCUGCACUGCUCCGUGACUCUACUCUGAGGAUGCUCUACCCACAGCUGCUGCACAGCAGAGCAGAGAAAGCGAAACAGCAAGGGCAGUUCCACUCUUUGCCCAGCAGGGGGAAGCCUCCAGCUCCCUUGCUGCUGUAUCCUCUCCAGAAUGUGCUAGUCCAGUGCCCCCUAGUGGUAACUCAUUUUAUUAAACAUCGAGUUGGUUACAGGAAGUAGAUUGAGCUCCGUGAAGAACAGUCUGUUUUGUAAGUAUUUUACAAUGUAGACAAAUUCUGACAUGGCAGGCCUUAGGUUCUCCGAAUGCCCUUCGGCGUCAUCUAACAAUCACACUAUCAUGUAGGCGAGGAAGCUGAAGUUUCUGGAGACUUGCUGUAGCCAUAGUGUGCUGUGUUGUGUUUUAAGAGAGCCAGGGUUGGAGGAAUUUCUAAGCUCUGUCUUGAAUUUUUUUCUUUUACUAUUCUGAUCCCAAGUUGACAGGAAUUUUCCAGAUGCCAAUGGGGUGCAAUGGCAUUGGGGUAGGGAGCCUUGCAGCUGCAAGCCUGUUAUCCCUUACCAGGGUUGCCUCUGGCUUUCUGAGCCUGGGUGCUAAGAGGCCAUGGGGUAGAGUAGAGAAAGAACUGGAUGGGUCUGCCCUCGGAUCCUAAUGCCACCGCCCCUCUAUCCACUCUGAGGCUGUUUGAGCUAUGCUCUUGACCCUAGAAAUACAGUGAUGAUUUAGAGACAGAAGAUAGUCUUGGUCAAGAUCCCUAAUCUUUCCCCAAGUUUAAAAUGGGGGUGUGCACACAAUUGAAUACUCUUGAGAGGAAACAGAAUUAUCUGGUGUGCUAAGAGAAGAACAGAGCAGGACAGAACCAAAUGGAGGCGAUGUUGGUUCAGUGCACUGCUAGCUGGUCAGCUGAGCUGUCUGUGGGUCCAGCAUCCUUGGAACCUUCCUUGGGCCAGUUAUCUGCAGACAAAAGGAUGCAUGCGUCCUCAUGUCUUUUAAUUAGACAAGCUGUAAAUUAUGUAACAUCAAAAGAAUGAGCUGGUCUUCACCUGAUUCAAGCUCUGGAGAUUUACUGGAGUCUCCAGCAGCAGUCAUGGUUUAAAACUGUAGAACUGGGGGUAGGGGUGGGGUCAGGCAUCUGAGAGACCCCCAUAUAGGCAGUGAAAACAUUUGGUCUCUUCCUAACAGAAGACUGCUGUUUGGAUAUUUGCUAUGAUAUCACAGAAGGAAUGCAUUCAGAAUGAGUGAUAACGGGGCUCUGUCUGUUAGUAUCAGUUUGCUACACAAGUGAUAUAUACAUAUAUAUUAUUAUAAUUAUAUAAAUAUAAUAUAUUUACUUAUAAUUUACAGUUUCUUUUCAACAAACUUUUUAAUCUAUCAUCUAUGUAUCUGUCUAUGUAUCUAUCUAUUAUCUAUGUAUCUAUCUAUGUAUCUAGUAUCUAUGUAUGUAUCUAUCUGUCUGUCUGUCUGUCUAUCAUAUAUCUAUCAACAUCAUCUAUAGAGAGAAUGGAAGUCCUGGCUUAGAAAACAUACAAAUUACUGAACAUUAGGACACCAGAUGAGGGUGAAGAUUUUCUGACAUUUGACAAAUAAAAAGAAAGAAAGAAAGAAAGAGAGAGAGAGAGAAAGAAAGAAAGAAAGGAAGAGAGAGAGAGAGAGAAAGAAAGAAAGAAAGAAAGAAAGAAAGAAAGAAAGAAAGAAAGAGAAAUGUAUGUUUUGUCCAAAGUUAUUCUCGGAUUUAUUCACUCGUCAAAUAUUCGCUGUGUGCCUCUUAUGGACUGCUCACUGUCCGUGAUGGGGUUACAGUAAAAAGGACGCAGCCCCUGUUUUCCUAGAUGCUGGAGGAAAGAGGAUUUCCAGUCAGAUGAGCACACCGUCAUGUUAGGAGAUCGUGAGGCAGGAAAGACUGAGAGCUGGAGAGGGAAGCACUCUCUGGACAGGAGGCUGAGCAGAGAUGAUAUUUGGGUGAGAGGAGGAGGCAAAGGCCCUGCGGUUGAUUGACGCUUAAAGGUCAAGGAGGUCAGAACCUGCAGCUGCAGAGCAAGCAGCAGGGACCCACAGAUCUGAGAGCAGCAGGGGGAAGGAGCAGGGGCCGAUGGGCACGGUCAGUUUGAGAAACUUGAACAGAGGAUAGAUAGCAUCUGGUUUAUGCUCUAAAAGAUGGUGAGUGAGCCAAAUUUGGCCCAGACACUGGGUCCCUUUAAGGUAGAGCCUAUCGGUCCCCCAUCCCCCAAAGAUCAAAGGUCAACAUGAUAUCAAGAACAAAUCUGGGGGAGCUUGGUAAAUCUAUGUAUUUUACGUAUUUCCAAGACUUUCAACUUGAGUACAGUAGACACCAAACGAUAGACAUCUUGUUCACAUUUUUUCCUCUCCUUAUCCCUUUGAAGGAGAAAGAGGAACUUUAGAUCUUUUAACAUCUCUAACAUCUCUCCCCAACCUCGCUCUCUUGGGUUGUGUGGAUCACUAAACUACUUGGAGUUUAAAUGUGCCCGGAAAGAGCUUGCCCGGGAGGAAGCCUCCAUUCUCAAACCCCACGCUUUCUGUUCCUUCCCUGUCAACCUGUGUUCGCUUCCAGCCACUGAUGAUCAAUUUGCUCUUUCCUUCAUGUGAUUCAACCAAACAGGUGUUUAAGUGGUUUUAAAAUGGGCACGGUUUAGAAGGAAGCCACACUUAUAAAGGAAGCCGGACAGAGUUCCCGAAUGUGAGAUGGCCUCCUUUUCAGUUCUUCCACUUAACGAUGAAAACACAAAACAAAAGCAAUCAAACAAACAAACACACCACCACCACCACCACUAACAACAACAAGAAGACCCAUGGCUCAUGAGAGACGUGAUGGCAGAAUGAUAUCUUUUCCAGCAUCAUAAAAAAGGAGGCGCAGUAAAGGUAAGUGCUGGCAAAUCGUACAAACCAGAACUGGAGCAGCAGGAGAUGAGAGAGAAGGCUGUGUUUCAUUAGCAGUGAUGGGAGGGAGGAGGCCGGGGCUUGAGUCACUGCAGAGCACACAGUAGGUCAUGCUCUUCACUCGAGCAGAUUCAUGGUUUGACCCUAGCAAGAAAACUACCCUACAUUCCUGGACAGUGCUGCAGCGUAGUGGAAACUGUGUGCCUCCUUUUUAAUGUUGUGAGAAAGGCUGGGCGGUGUCUCCAGUGUGCUAGUGGCAAACAUGGACCCAGAGAGACCCUCGCAGUUUGUUACCCCCCCAUCUUGGCUUGCAGCAGAAGUUAUCCAGGGAGGCAUAUGGGCUCUCGGACUCUUUAAAGCCAUUUUACCUUGAGGGUUUCCGAUUUUCUAGCAUUUGGAAGGAAGAUGGAAAAGGGAAUCUGAGCGAAGUUCGUGACGUCUCUGAGUAGCUGAACUGUGAAGAAAUAAGGACACGUUGAGAAUGUGUAGUAAACGUAGUAAUUGACAUGUGAAGUUGGCCAGUGGAGGGAGGACUGAGGCCCCAGGGUAGGUUCAUAACCAGCUUACCAACCUACAUUUCUACACUAGGAAUGAGCAUGCACCUUUAUUUAAGAAGGAAACAUACCCCAAAUCAGUCUCCUGUAGGGAGACACUUCUUUUCUUAUUUUUAUUUUUAGAGAAAGGGGCUCUCUGUAUAGUCCUGGCAUCCUGAAACUUUCUAUGUAGACCAGGCUGGCCUUGAACUCCUAGAGACCUUCCUACCUCUGCUUCCAUUGUUCUGGGACUAAGGGCAUGUGCCAUCACACCUGGAUUGAGAUCAGUUCUUUUCUGUCCUCUUUGUAUCAUCAUUUUCACUAGGUACAUUGUUGUCGUUCGAAUGUCAAGUGUCCUUCACUGGUUCUUGUGCUUGAACACUUGGUCCCUAUCAGAUUUUUGUUUGAAAGAAAGAAAGAAAAAAAGGAAGAAAGGUUGUGAAGCCAUUUGGAGGUAGAGGUUUGCUGGAGAAAGUGGCCACCAUGAAGGGCCUUGAGGGUUUAUAGUCUGUUCCCACUUCCUGUCUACUCUCUGUUUCCUGACUGUGGCCCGCCCCCUCCUGCAGACAGUGUUCCCUACUUGGUAGACUGUAUCCUUUGGAACUGAAAGUCACAAUAAGCCUUCCUCUACUGGUUUUUGUCAGUUCUUUGGUCACAGCAAUAAGGACACAAGUGUAUGUGGAUACCUUUUGUGAAAAGCCUGGAAAAUCUCACAAAGUCACCACUGUGCUGUUGAGAGAAAGGCUCCCUUGUGGCUGCAACCCUGAAGAUUUGUCAGGAUGAAGGAUGAACAAAAGAAAUCUGGUGAGGAGCAAUCGUAGUAAAGUUAAGCUGGAGAAAGAGAAAACCUGCAGAUUGGAGGAACUUUGUUGGUAACUUACGCCCAGAACACGACAGAGUCUUGACAAAAUUCAUGAGAUGGUAUAAGGGAAUCAUGACAGGGGUCCAGAGAGGGACAAGUGAAGAUAAUGGGACCGAAGUGUGUUAUACGCGUGUGAAAAUAUGUUACACACUUGUGAUAAUAUUUUACACAUGUGUGUGAAAAUGUCACACCCAUGUGAAAAUAUGUUGCACACCUGUGAGAAAAUGAUACACAUGUGCAAAAAUAUGUUACACAUGUGAAAAUAUGUUACACGUGUGUGAGAAACUAUGUUACACAUGUGUGAAAAUAUGUUACAUGUGUGUGUGAAAAUAUGCUACUCACCUGUGAGAAAAUGAUGUCGCCCACAUCAGUUAUGUUAUAUAAUCAAUACUGUAUAAUACAAAGAAACACUAAGGAAAGGCAGUCACAAAGCAGGCAGGGGCAGACAGGAAGGAGAACAGGAGAGAAUGUUAGAAGCCGUGAGACUCAGCUUUUCUUAUUAAAUAGGGAGGAGGCUAAGAUAGUCACAAGCUGGAAAUGUUUUAUUUGUUUUAUAUUAUUUUAUUUUAUUCUAGUGUGUGGCUAUCUCCUGCAUGUAAGUCUGUGUGCCAUGUGUAUAUAGUGACCACAGAGGCCAGAAGAGGGUGUCAGAGUUGAAUCACAUAUGGUUGUUAUCGUAUGUGGGUGCCAGGAACUGACCUCAGGUCAUUUGCUAGAGCAUUAAGUGCUCUCAACCACUGAGCCUUCUCUCCAGCCCUGAAAGAUGAAAUUGUUUAUUUAAAAGCGCGCGCGCGCACACACACACACACACACACACACACACACACGUUAUCCCCAGCUUAUCAUUCAUGUACAGCAGUUUUGACACUCACAGGUGGGAUGCAGGAGUUUCUGUAGUUUUAUUUCUAUAUCAUUACCAUAUAACUUUUGAUAACUGUGUAGUAAAUAUUUUGGAGAAAUAAGAUUUUAUAACUCAAUUGCUUCAUUACUUAAAAUUCCAGAUGAUUGGGGGUGGAUGUAAUAGGGUCUCAGAAUGUAGCCCUGGCUGUCUCGGAACUUACUAUGUACACCAGACUGGCCUUGAACUCCCAGAGAUCUGCCUGCCUCUGCCUCCUGAGUGCUGGGAUUAAUAUAGCUGGCCCAAAUAUAAUUUGUAAAUUUUGUUUUGUUUCUUUAAGACAGGGUUUCUCUGUGUACCCCUUGGCAGUCCAGGAACUCACUCUGUAGACCAGGCUGGCUCAAACUCAUAGAGACCCUGCCUGCUUCUGCUUCCCAAGUGCUGGGAUUAAAGGCAUGUGCCACCACAGCUCAGCACUAAUUUAUAAUAAUUUUAAAAUCAACUAAAAAAAAUCAUAGGAAGCUGAGUGGGAUGUCUUUACAAUUUUUAAAGAUUCCUUCACCUUAUUGUAUGUGUAUGAGCCUUUUGGGCACGUGUAUAUGUGCACAGGAUAUGCACACUGUCUGUGGAGGUCAGAGGAGGGCAUCACAUCCCCUGAGACUAGCGUUAUAUGGAUGCCGGGAAUGGAACUCAGAUCCUUUGCAAGAACAAGGGCCCUUACACUGGGCCACCUCAGCUCACAAAGACCUAUUCGUAUUAUUUUUAGUCAUGUGUGUGCAUGCAUGUCUGUGUGUAGGAUGUGCAUGUUUGUAGGUGGAUGUUCCCGGAGUCCAGACAUGUGAAUCUCCAGGAGCUGUUGUUACAGUAGUUGUAAAUCAUCUGAUGUUUAUGCUAGGAACUAAGCUCAAGUCCUCUGCAAGGGCGGUGUGAGUUCUUACUGUGGACCUAGAUCUGCGGCCCUUGCUACUUUUAAUCUGAUGGACUGACAACACAACACAGCAGCAUCCCGUCAAGUUCAAUUAGACUUUCUGACAAUUACUUUUCCUACUUAACAUCCUUUGGUUAAGUUUUGAGAAUUGCCUUUAAAAAACGUUUAGCUUGUUUAACUUGCUACAAAGGUUACAUCACAUGUCUAUUGUGAUAAUUAUAUACAUUAUAUCUUCCGAGUUUUGUUGCCCUGCACAGCAGCAUGUAUUGUAUGGGUACCUUAUGAAUUCCUGCUAGAGUUUUUAGCUAAUUUCCGCAGUUUAUGGUCCCCUUUAAAUAACCACAGUUCGGUCUCUGUUCUGCCCACCGGCCACAGCUUCUUACCUGCAGAUCAGCUGGAAAAUGCAAAGCUAUAGAGUCUACAAAUUCUGCGAACGAACAUGGUGGGGUUGAGGCUGUUUGCGAUCUUAGUGGUUAUACGUUAUGUAACUACCCAUGGACUUUAAUGUAGAAAUAUUGGUUAUGGAAUGUUGCUCAAGUGUCUGUUAUCACAUAGUAUAUAGUAAGCUAACUUUAUCUAAAAUCUAAAAACUUCCAGACGGGAAAACACCCAUCUCUAGAGUCAAAUUAAGAAUGUUGACUAUUGGGGCUGGGGAUUUAGCUCAGUGGUAGAGCGCUUACCUAGGAAGCGCAAGGCCCUGGGUUCGGUCCCCAGCUCCGGAAAAAAAAAGAACCAAAAAAAAAAAAAAAAAAAAGAAUGUUGACUAUGCACAACAGUUUCCGCCUUUCUUUAGUCAGAUAGAAUUUUCCAGUGUUGAAUAAGUGGUAUCUUGUGGGGUUUUUUUAAAAUGGAAAUAUAAUGGCCAAGUGUCUUGCAACUGGAUAUAUAUUGAUGGUGAGAAUCAAGAUUCCCCAUCAGGACAAAGAGCGUCACUUUUCUAAAACUAGUUUGCAAACAGAAAGAGACUUCUCUUUCAUAUGUUGAGGAUGUCACCUUCAUCCCCUCUAAGGAAGGAAGAGGGGUUGUUGUCGUGGUCACCAUCUGUGAACAAGACUUCUCAAGUUAUUUUCUGUUAAUAAAUUGCUUUGUGUAAGAUUAGAAAAAAAAAAAAGAAUGCCCAACGUCACACAUACAGGACCAAAAAGUCAUCAUUGUCCCCAAAGCCAGUUAGUUACUCACUACCUACGUUUCUAAUACUUAUAGGUUACUUUGUUUGUGUUUUGAGUAUUUUAAAAUAUUUAAUAAAUUUUAAACACAACGUUUUAAAUAAGUAAGAGCAGCAUAUAUUUGUAAUUUUAAAUAUGUGAGGCGCACACACACACACUCACACACACACUCACACACACACUCACACACACACUCACACACACAUACACACACUCACACACAGACACACAUACUCACACACUCACACAUACUCACACACUCACACACACACUCACUUGCACACACUCACACACAGACACACUACACACACUCACACAUACACGUGCUUUUUGAUGGUGCCCUUGCCUCCAUGUGUAUUAGCACAUCAGGAUUUUUCAUCCUCUAUUAGUAGUGUUAAGUGGAGUGACCAGAGCCCCACUCACGCUAUUACUGACGGACAUAUCCUUUCCAGCCUCAUGAUUCCCCAUCAAAGGGAAAAGUAUUUUAUUGCCUUUUUUGAGAACCAGCUCAUGAUUUUGUUAGUGUAAUGAUUAUUUAGCCUUCUGGUUUGUGCUGGCUACUCAAGAUCUUUUAUCUCUGUUAAGUCCUUUUACUUCCUUCCCCGUUACACACCCACUUAAGUUGGAGACAUGGUCCGUUUCUGUUUACUUGGUGAAGAUGUGUUCGGGGUCUCAGCCAGAUAAAGUCUGAAGCUGUCAGGGAGUAAAGCCAGCACCCUUGGCUCCUUGAACAUAAUGCAAUUCCUUUCACAUAGUAGCGCGUGGUGCCAUUAAGGGUUUACAUCCUUGGUUUCUCUGUGUUCUGACAACACUGUGGACCAUGAGUGACGAUCAAGCCAACUAGAGUUUAGGAGCAGCUCUUCAGAGAAGGAUUCAUGUCAGAGGUGCUGGGAUGGGGCAUGGCCUGGAAAUCAACUCUUUCAAGACGAGUCUUACCCUAUCUUCUAAUUAUAAUAAAAAACAUUAGAAAUGAGCACAUUUUUAACUAGACAGAAGUAAUAGAUCUUGCACAUUUCUGAGUUCUCAUAAGUUGAACCUCACCACUGACCUAAUUAUUCUUUUCCAUACUAAUGCAGUGUUCACAUACUUCCCCAUAGCCCAACUGUAUAUUCUACAGAAAUCCUUUAAAGAGCUGGCCUUCCAUCAUGAGAAUGCCCCUGCCUCUCACCAGCUGCAGCACUCGGAGGAGCAGUCCUUGCCUGAGCAGCACAGCAGAACAGAGCUAUGGCAGAGGGGGCACAGGUAAACAUUUAAGCACGGGGAUCUAUGUGAGGAAUGGAAAAGAGCAUCAUGCUGGGGUUUGGAGAUCUGGGCUCUUUUUGUUGUCCGCACAUCAGCCACCGUGUGAUUUUAUAUACUUCGAAUUUCUGGCUAUCAGUCCAUUCAUCUGUAUGAUCUGCGGGCUAACCCACGUCAUCACUUUCUAAUAGCUCACUUCGAUGGAUGUACACUAAUAUGCAGUAACUUAAAUUUAUUUGGGGAUUGGAUCAACUUUUUGUGUGUGGAGCAUCUCGCAAGGCUGGCGUGGUGCGGUGCAUGCUGGGAAACACUGCCUUACGUCAUCCCUCAGAAGCCCCUCGGAGCGCCGAUCUGCCUGCUGAGCCUGCGAGCAGUGCAACCUCAAGAGCAUUUCAUAACCUUGCUGCGCUUCAGUUCCGUGUUCACAAAACAAGGGUGAGUUGAAAAACUAUUUCAUUGGUCCGCUCCUCUAGAGGUGGCUGGAACCUACUGUCCCAGUAGUCAUGGAUAUGAAACAGAGAUGCCGCUGCGUAGAGUGGAAGCCAGCCUGGUCACGUGGAGAGGACUGACGGGGAACCCGUGUGAGCACCUGAGAGGUUGAACAAGAAGCCAGAAGAGAAAACUGAUCAGGAGCUGCCAAUUUUUUCCCUCUACUAGGACUGGUCCCUGUGAUACACACAGUGUGCGGAACACUCAGAUCCUGUACAGCAAUAUUAGAUUUGCUCAGAACUCCAGUUACAGCCUGUCACUGCAGAGAAGUCGAGGCAAAGCUUAAUGAUGUCAACUAGUCAAGAACUGAGAGAGAAAGUCAGGUGCGGUGGCACACGCCUUUAAUCCCAGAACUCAGGAGACAGAAGCAGGCCCAUCUCUGGGAGCUUGGGGCCAUCUUGAUCUACACAGUGAGUUCUAGGACAUAUAGAGGUAAUAGUGAGACCCUGUCCAAAAACCAAAACCAAAUGAACAUCCCAAAGCCGCAGAGAGUGAAGGCUUGCAAACUCAUCUCUCAACGAAUUUUCUCUACUCUUACACGUGGCAGGACCCCAACCCAGGGAGCAAUGCUGUCCUCAGUGGGAAAGUCUUCUCAUCUCAACUCCCAAGUUGAUCGUAAUCUCUUCGUAGAAAGCCUCCGUGUUCUCGUUUACUUCAAAUCCCUUCUUGGGUGUAAUUGGGAUCAUGAUUGACUUCGCCCACUGAAAGCAUUCAAUUAUAUGCUUGCUGAAGGAUUGGGGAAGAUCGUGUGGUUACUUCAACCCAAGCUCAGAAGGCAGCCGUCCUCAACGUAACUGCUGAGAAGCUAUUUGCCCUAUAAAGGAAUUCUAUAGGACAAAAAUGGCAUUCCCAAAUCGGAGAAAGACAUCUGAGUCCUCAGAAAGAAAACAACUUCUUCUUAGCACCGCAUUCAGAAAUAAAUUUCUGGUAAGUAUCUUAAUAGUUUAGGUACACCUAAAAGUUUAAAACACAAGGAUUUGAUGUCCUUGGGCAUGGAGGAAAAAGAGAGGAUAGAGUAGAAUAGGAUGCUCUUGUGUGAAAAAGACAUAACAGGAAAAGCUACAGGAAUCAAGGAAGGCUUGAAGAAAAUGUUCGUGAUAUGCAUAUGAUUACCAUUAGACACAUUUAAAUCACUAAUAUAUAAGAACCAAGUCGCUGAGGGUGUGAAAUGGCACUGCCACUGUAGAAAAUGGGGCGGGGACUGCUCAAGACAUUAACAUCAAACUUGCCAUGUGACCCAGGAGUCCCACUUCUAGGCAUGUAAGCAAGAGAAGGACAAGAGGUUCUUAAACACUCGACACCUGCGACCCACGGCAAUCGGGGCAUUCCUAAGUUGACUGCUUCUGGGGCACUGAAGGAAGCACAAGUGAAGACAGCACAACGCACACAUGCAGGACGCCGUUCAACCUUAAGGAAGGAAGUCUAAGCCCAGACUAAGGAUCCAGGUCCACCAUCCCAGCUGCUAGCAAGCUGAAGCAGGAGGAUCUCAAGUUCAAGACCUGCCUGCUUGACUCUUCACCCCCAAGAUGUGUUUCCCCUGACUCCCAUCUUCCCGGAGGUGAGCUCUUCUGCAUCGAAAUCUCUGAAGUGAUUAGUCAAAAUGAAUUUUCCCGGCUUUACAUGAUCUAUGUCUGUAUUUUGUCAAAGAAGCUAGCUGUGGUGCUGGAGGGAUGGCUUAGCAGUUAAGAACACGCACUGCUCUUCCAGGAUACAAGUUCCAGUCCCGGUACCCACACUACCUGGAAUUCCAGCUCUUGGGGAUCUCGAGUCCUCUUCUGGCCUUCAGGAGUGCUGCACUCAUGUGACAUACACUCACGCACAUACACACACCUAUUAAUAAAGUAAUAAAAACAAACCUUUAAAAAUAACCCUUAGCUAGCACAAGUGGCGUUCUGUUCAGUGUUCGUGAGGUCUCACAUCGAUUUUGUUCUAUACUGCAUGUGAGAACGCACUGUAAAAGGCUAAAGACCUACAUGGGAGGUAUUUAUAUCGAAACUAAGAAUGAGAAGUAGUCUAACCUGCUUUAAAAAAAAAACACAGUCAACUACUUUAAUAAAAUAAACUUUGAAAGCCUGCACAGAACAGAAUGUGCCCCGCCCUGGGUGGCUCUAUCUUGGAAACCUGGUUGGAGCCAAACAGGACUGAAGAAAUGACAGGCACGUGAGGACACACACAGAGAGGCUGGGCUUGGGUGGACUGCGCUUGCUCCGACAGAGGGCGCUGCUUCCGCACUAGGUAACUCAGGAAGUUCAUCUUCUACAGCUCAAGCAGGAAGGGUUAGAUAGUCUUGGUAGGAUGUCUCUGGAGGCGCCAGAGGAAGGCUUUGCCAAUUUCCAGAGGCUGACCUGGAAAAGUCUUUUCUAUUCUCCUGAGUCGGAGGCAUGGGAUGUGUCCUUGACUUGGCUCUGCCCACAUCUACAAUACAUGUUCUGUCAGGAUUUCAUCCGCUCCCCGCUCCCCGCUCCCCACAAGAAUGACUCUUCAUGCCACUCACAUGAGUUGGGUUUCAUUACUGUGACUAGAAAAACCAGAAGCAGUCAACUUAGAAUUACGGAAAACUAAUUUUGGCGCACAACCUUGGCAGUUUGGAGCUCUGAUCAGUUGGUCCCUUCCCUAUGUACCUGUGGCGAGAUGAUGCAUCGUGGCGGGACUGUGUGACCGAGAAAGAGGCUUACUUCGUGGCAUCUCAGAAGUGAAAAAGAAAGAAGCGGGGAAGGGGCUAAGGUCCCAUAUCCUCUUCGAGGGCAUACAUACUGCGGUGGUUUAAAUAUGCUUGGCCCAUGGGAAGUGGCACUAUUAGGAGGUGUGGCCUUGUUGGAGUGGGUGUGGCUUUGUUGGAGUGGGUGUGGCCUUGUUGGAGUGGGUGCGGCCUUGUUGGAGGAAGUGUGUCACUGGGUAGGCCGACUUUGAGGGCUCCUCGGCUCAAGCUCCACCCAGUGUGGAAGAGACACACCUCCUCCCCGCCUCCUGGCUUCCUGCAGAAGACAGUCUCCUCAUGGCUACCUUCAGAUCAAGAUGUAGAAUUCUCGGCUGUUCCAGCACCAUGUCUGCCUGCAUGCUGCCAUGCUUCCCGCCAUGAUGAUGAUGAAUUGAACCUCUGAAACGGCAAGCCAGUCGCAGUUAAAUGUUUUCCUUUAUAAGAGUUACCUUGGUCAUGGUGUCUGUUCACAACAAUAAAACCCUAACUAAGGCACAUACCCUUAGUGACUUAGCUUCCUCUCACUCAAAGAUGCCACGUCUCCCAAUAGUGCUAUGGGAUGGGACCAUGCCUGCAGCAUGUGGAUCUUUGGGGACACCUCUCAGAACUACAGCACUGGUGCUCUGAGUAAACGCCUCCUCAGUCCAUGUGAGCACGUCUGUGGUGCUGCUGCCUUUGUCCAGGUCGUGUUGAGGUUCUGGAUGUACAAACCUAGACUAUCCAUAUUUGAUUCAUUUUUAUCACUCCAUGCUCUCGUUCCAAGUCUCUGCAAUGCCUAGGUGCACCCCACGUAUUUUGAUGUUUUAAGACUUCCUUCAGACCUAUAUAUUAUUUCUUUUCCUUCUUUGAUACACGUUCUGUUCUCUGCAGAUCUGGAUGUGUGUUGUUUAAUUUCCACGUGUUUAGAGAUUUCUCCACCGCUUUUCUGUUGGUUUCUAAUUAAUUCCAUGGCAGCCAGAAAACACGCCGUGUGCGAUUGCGCUCUUUUGAACUCUGUGUCCACCUUAGCGAUGUUCCGGGAGUAUUUCCUGCUGUUGACAGUAACAUGUUCUAUACCUACCGACUAGGAUAUGUUGGUUGAUUGUUUUUCUCUUAUCUUCUGGGGGUUUUUUCCUCCUCUUUUUUGCCCAUGCACAUGUGUGCACAGAGCUAUGUGUUCACCUCUGUGGGCACACGUGUGUGCAGAGGCCGAUGGUUGACAUCAGGUGUCUUCUUCAGUCUUUCUUGACUUUAUUCAUUGAUGCUGGCUUUCUCGAUUGAAUCCAGAGCUGGCUGACUUGGCUGGUCUAGCUAGUUAGCUUGCCCUUGGUAACCCUCAUCUGAGCCUUCUCAGGCCUGGAAUUACAGGUGGCCUCCUGGCAUUUAUGUGAAUGUUGGGAUUUGAACUUGGGUCCCCGCACUUGCACAGUAAGUACUUUGCACACUCUGAUGACUUAGUCAUCGCGGUUCUAUCAGCUUUUGAGAGGUCCUCAUUUGUAAUUGUGGGUUUGCUUAUUUUUCUUUUAUCUCUGUCAAGUUUUGCAUGAAGGGUCUUGAGUUUCGUUUUGUUUUUAAGAUUAUUUUAUUUAUAUGAGCACACUGUAGCUGUCUUCAGACACACCAGAAGAGGGCAUCUAAUCCCAAUACAGAUGGCUGUGAGCCACCAUGUGGUUGCUGGGAUUUGAACUCAGGACCUCUGGAAGAGCAGUCAGUGCUCUUAACUGCUGAGCCACCUCUCCAGCCCGGGUCUUGAGUUCUGUUGUUGGGCUAGGCUAUGCUAAGCUCUACUUGGAUGGUCUUCUCUGUCUGCCGACGUGAUUUUUUUUUUGUCAUUAUACACACAAUAGAGGCUAAAGGAUAUGCCUUGCUCUCCUGUCACCUAAUUAACACAGAUGUUCCUUUUUCUAUCAUUAAUUUUUAUAUCUAUAUCUUUUUAUUAACCUCGUUAUAGUUAAUUUUUAUGUGUAUAUCUUUGUUUGAACCUCGUUCUUCCCAUCUACCCAGGUCAUUGAAUUUGAAGUCAGUUUCUUACAAAUAGAACAUAUUAUGAGGUUGUAGGCUGUUUGUGCUUUUCCAAUCACUAUUGAUUGGAGCAUUUAACUCAUGCUUGUCAAUAAAGUAGCCAUUAAUGUGUCAGUGCCAUAGCCUUCUAUUUUAUUAUCCAUUCCAUUAGUUUUUUCCCCUUUUGUUUUCUUGGAUUCUAGUGGGUUAUCUAAAUAUAUUUUUGUAAUCCCCUAAAUUUAUUUAUUUAUGUUGUUGAAUAUGUCUUUGUCUUGCUGCUAUAAAGUGGUGGUCCUAUACGAUGUGUUUAGGUGCAUUUUUAUGUCUAAGUUUGUGAUUUAAUACAGUCUACUGCUAUCAACGUCGUCCAAAUUGGAUGUAAUAUAGACCAUCCCUUCUAGUUCACACCUUUACCUUCACUAUUAAAAACUCUUUGAUAUCAGAUGAUGAUUUGCUUUUAAUAAAAAUAUAUUUAUGACCAGAUGUGGUCAUGCUUCCCUUUAUCCUAGAACUGAGGCGACAGAGUGGAUCUCUGUGAGUUUGAAGCCAGCCUGGUCUACACUGUGAGUUGCGGAGCAACCACAACUACACAAUAAGACCCUUUCUCAAAAAUAUGUAUUUAUAGAGUUCAUAGAGGGGAAGAAAGCGAUACUCUAUUGUAGUCACCUGUAUUUCUUGUUUUUAUUUUUUUCUUCUUCCCUGAAUUCUAACAUUUGUUCUUUUAUCAUUGACUUUCUGAUUAAAGAACCUCUUUUUCAAUUUUAAAUUUUUAUUAUUCUUAGAGUUAAUAAUUUGAGAAGGUCUGCGACAAGUCCCCUUUGUUUCUCUUUUGGGGGAGUGUAGCUAUUUUAAUUUGCUGCCUGAGAUACUUUUGCUGGGUAUAGAAGUCACAUGCCAAUUCUCUUUCAUUCGUUGAAGAAACUAGUGUACCUCUUUCCGAUCUCCACAAGGAAUCCUUAGACUUUUGUGCUAGUGUUUCCUUAUAGUUAGUGUGUUAUUUCGCCUCAACAUGUUUUCAAGAUUUUUUUUCUUGACGUUAGUUUUCAAAGACUACACGAUUAACUUAGCAUAAAAUUUUAGGAGGUUUAUACUAUUUGGAAUUUACUCAGCCUAAUGAACAUAUAUGAUUUGGCUUCAAGCUCCUUCUGAAAAUGUAAUAACAGAAAUGUUGAAAUUAUUUUUGACAUUUGUCCCACAGCAACACAGACAUUGUAUUUGGGGGAAUUUAUCUUUUGUUUUCACCGUCUUUCUUCCUACUGUUAAUAUACUAAAUUCACUUGAGUUCAUUGAUUUUUGUCUUUGUCUCCACCUACCGUUAGCACAUCCAGUGAACUUCAUUUUCUGCUGCUAUGUUUUUCAACACUACAUUUUAUAUGGGUUUGUUUCUUUAAAGCCAUUUUCAUUUUUGGAAUAUCUUAGUUUUUCAAAGCAAUUUACGAUUUAUUAUUAAAUUUUUAAGAUGGCUACCUUAAACUUCUUUUUAUUUGUUUUAGUGUUAGCAUUAGUUAGCUUUUUCUCACUCAAAUUGUGGUUUUAUGGGUUCUUAGUGAACAGGAGAUUUCCAGUCAUGUACAAGACAUUCUAUAUCACAUGUUUAUUUCAGUUCUCUGUUGGAGCACAUAGCUUAGGGCUUAUCUUGUGAUAGCAGUACUAAUUGCAAUUUAAUUUCAAGAUUUUUGUUGUAUUGUUGUCUUUGUUUGGUUUUCAUGAGUCUAUCCUGACCACUGAUUCUUUCUAAUGACUUUUGGGACACGAAAAUGUUUUCCCCAAGCCAGGUUGUGGGUAUUUGCUGCUUUAAGGAAUACAAACAUUUUGCUAUCUGGGAGCGUGGUGUGAAAUGAUCCCCCAGCAAGUGACAAGACAGACAAGUGACUGACAAGACAGAGGUGUCCCAGGCAAUAGAUCUCUGCACAGUUCAUUGUGGCUGAACCCCUGCUGUCCCAGAGGCUUAGUGGAAGAGGCUCCGACCACAGGAGCUCGCUUCUCUGGCAGCACGUGAAGGUGCAGAGGUGUCUUCCCACACCAAGCUGCAAUGAUCUAAUUACUGAAAGUGGACUUUUGGAAGAUCAGACCGAGCCUUAAAUUUAAAACCCCUGUAUAUAUGUAAAAGGAAAACAUAAAUACAUUCGUUAAAGUAUGUCCAUAUUCUUCAUAUGUAAAGUACAACUCUUAGGGGUCAGUGUUUAAUUUCUGCCUAAGAAUCAUAGAUGUAAGACCUACUGAGUCAGCUAACCUGGGCCCAUGGGGUUACAGAGACCCCAACCACCAACCACGGCAUGUACAGGGACUGGGCCUAGACCCCUACACACUUGUAGUAAAUGUGCAGCUUGGUAUUCCUGUGAGUCCCCUAACAGGUGGGGCAGGGGCUGUCUCGGUCUCUGUUCUCUGCCUUUGGAUCCCCUUCCCUGGUGUGAAUUGCCUGGUUGGGCCUCAGUGAGAGGGGAUGUGCCUACUCAUGCUGGGACUAGAUGUCCUGUGGUGGUGGUAGACAAGAUGGGCUUCCUUUCUCUGAGGAGAAUGGGAGGUGGCAAUGGGAAGAGAUAUUUAUAAGGGUGGGACUGGGAAGAGAGAAGGGGGGUCUAGAUCAGGAGGCAAGUAAAUAAAAACAUAAAUUAUUGAAAAAAAUCACACAUGGUUAUGUAUUUCCACAGAAUUAUCUUUCUGUCAUCAGGGCUUCUUGAUGCAGGAGUACUUAGCAAUAUGGCUGCUGCUCUCACCAUGAUGUCCCUUCAUGCUGCUGGCUUCUCUUCUACACUCUGGACUCACAUUUGGAGUGUGGGUAAACACUGCUUCCUUAAAGUACCUACGAGAUGCCUCCUAGCUUCCAAGAUGUGAAAAGCGUGUAGCAUCACAUCCACAUCACAGGAUAAGCCUGUGUGAUAAGCCAUCCGCUCAGAGAAGAGGACGGGGAUAGGGGAAAGAUUGUGGGAGCAGGUGACUGGGAGGGGGGCAGUGUGCAGGAUGUAAAGUGAAUAAGUAAAGAAUAAAAUUAAAUUAAAAAAAUAAAAUGAAGGGAAUGGGAGGAUUCAUAUGUUAAAAACAAAAACAGUCCAGGGAAACAUGUAUCUUCAAGACUUACACUCAGAAGCACUUCUCUAGUUUAAGGCAGAAUGAAUUAACCAAUGGGAAGGACAGAUCUAUCUUUCUGUUCUCGGUGGCUCACAACAGCCCUCACAUGUUCUUUCUUCUUUAUCUUAACCCCUCCCAUUCCGUUCUCCAGCCACUGGCUGGGAUCGUCUUUCUAAAAUAUAUCUUUCACCUCCUUUUAUAUCCGUCAGAGACACCUGCAGUAUCCGGGGUAACCUGUACAUGCAUCAGGCACAUAAGUUAAAUGCGAGCGUGGUCUGUGGGAAAGGAUGGGGAAUGUGUGUGUGUGUGUUGGGGUGGUGGAAGAGAGAAUAAUGACCCUCCCCAAAUGUUCAUGUCUUAGUCCUUGCAGCUUGGGCAAGGGGAUGACGCAGAUGUGACUGGGGGUUAUCUACAUGAACCUCAUACACUCACAAGGAUCCUUAAAGGAAGUAAGGGGAGAGGGAAACAGAAAGGGAGACAGACAGACAGACAUACAGAGUGAGAGGCAGACAAACAGACAGAGUGAGAGGCAGACAGACAGACACAGAGGGAGCAAGAGACAGGCAGACAGACACAGAGAGAGCAAGAGACAGACAGACACAGAGAGAGCAAGAGACAGACAGACACACAGAGAGUGAGAGACAGACACACAGAGAGGCAGACAGUCACAGAAAGAGAGCGGGAGACAGACAGACAGACACACAGAGAGAGCGAGAGACAGACAGACACAGAGGGAGCAAGAGACAGGCAGACAGACACAGAGAGAGCAAGAGACAGACAGACAGACACAGAGAGAGCAAGAGACAGACAGACACACAGAGAGUGAGAGACAGACACACAGAGUGAGAGGCAGACAGUCACAGAAAGAGAGCGGGAGACAGACAGACAGACAGACAGAGACAGUCGAUGACCGAAACAGGCAAUAGAGACAGAAAGUGGGACAGAUUUGAAUUGGAAGACGAUGCAUCGUACAUGAACUUUGAAGAUGGAGGAAGAGGCGAUGAACCAAGGGGUGUAGAUGGCUUCUAGAAGUUGGGAAAGGCAAAGGAAUAGAUGAGAUUCGGCCCCUAAAACUUGUGGAAAGAGGCAGAGCCACCAGAACCUUGAUUUGAGGACUGCAGACUUCUUCAAUAAGGUAUUUACACCCCCUGACUUUCUGAGAUUGUGCCUUACUGUGCGGCCCAGGGCGACCUCAAUUGACAAGUCUGCUGCUUCUGCAUCCCAGUGCUAGAUCACGGAUAUGUGACACCAUGUCUGGCUUUAGAUUUUCUAUCCCGUCUAUGCCAUUAAGUGUGCAGUCAUUUGUAACAACAGCAAUAGCAUGUGUGAGAUGAAGGUUUCGCUGUGCCCUUUAUCUUGCGGGGAUGAACGUGCAUCAGUUUAAGACAGGUGAUAGAUAUGUCUACUUCUGAUCCUGUCUCACGUACAAAUAACUCGCAGCCUUUACCGAGGAGAGAAAAACCACAGCCAGGUCAUUUGAAAAGUUCAUUUAUUAUAUACCAAUAUACAUUCUGUAAUAAAAAAAAUCCUCCCAGUACAUCAAACCAUCUUAUAAAGGCUGUAAGAAAAUAAAAUUUGUAUCUGUUUACAAAUGGGUUAAAUUUACCAAAAAAAAAAAAAUGUACUCCGCGUAUCUGCCCUGCAGCUUGUGUGAGCUCCGAUCCUGAAGACGGCCACGCGAGUGAGUGGAGCUGCGUGUAGUCUUUGGCACUGCUGUAUUACUCUUGAGUCUGACUACACAAGAGGAUGCUUCCCAGUUAGUCAUUCUAAAUGUAAAAUAUUUGAAAUAUAUACAGAUUGUACAGGCUCCCAAAAUUUUUGGAUUAAUCUUUUCUAUUUACAUUUAAUAUGUUCAGAUGAAACACAUCUAAUAUUUGCAAUGCACCCUUUCCGCUUUCUAAUCUUGGUUUAUUUCUUGGGUGAAUGAAAAACGGAAAGACAUCUCACAGAUCCUAUUUGGCGAUUUUUUUUUCUCUCGGAUGAUAAUAACUCAGAAUUUGUGAUAGUUUCUAGUAAUGCUCGGUUUUUGUCCCAAAGCACACCAUUUUAUAGUACUAAACUCCAGAAAAUGACACGUAAACAAACAUGUUUCUGAGACCCACUGCAGAAAAGCUGUUUCAGUGUGACAGUAUUAUCACUACCUGGAUGAUUCGUGCAUUUCAGACCUGGCUUCGUAUUGAAAUGUAAAAUAAACGACCAGUGAUUGAAAAACAACGGUCAAAGCCAGAGAUUCUGGGCAGUGAGGGGAAACUGAACUCCACCCCAUGUAAGCAUCUAUGGCUGUGAAC
This is a long non-coding RNA of Rattus norvegicus (Norway rat), 21600 nucleotides long. RefSeq lists it as uncharacterized. The record is from RefSeq and is a predicted model, not a curated record. Lineage: Eukaryota; Metazoa; Chordata; Mammalia; Rodentia; Muridae.